Molecule: non-coding RNA, 139 nt
Organism: Caenorhabditis elegans
Lineage: Eukaryota; Metazoa; Nematoda; Chromadorea; Rhabditida; Rhabditidae
Source: Ensembl
CAAAUGACCCCCUCACCUGCCCUUGCGCAAUGGUCAUUAAUAAAAGCAACAUUUUCCAUUUCCCAAAUAAAUCCCUGGGACCCCUUCUUCUCCACACCACUUUUUUCUUUUCUCUCUCUUCCUCUUGUUCUUCAACCCA